CCUACGGGGGGCUGCAGUGGGGAAUAUUGGACAAUGGGGGGAACCCUGAUCCAGCCAUGCCGCGUGUGUGAAGAAGGCCCUCGGGGUGUAAAGCACUUUCAGUGAGGAAGAACGCCUGGUGGUGAAUACCCAUCAGGAAAGACAUCACUCACAGAAGAAGCACCGGCUAACUCCGUGCCAGCAGCCGCGGUAAUACGGAGGGUGCGAGCGUUAAUCGGAAUUACUGGGCGUAAAGCGCGCGUAGGUGGCUUGAUAAGCCGGUUGUGAAAGCCCCGGGCGCAACCUGGGAACGGCAUCCGGAACUGUCAAGCUAGAGUGCAGGAGAGGAAGGUAGAAUUCCCGGUGUAGCGGUGAAAUGCGUAGAGAUCGGGAGGAAUACCAGUGGCGAAGGCGGCCUUCUGGACUGACACUGACACUGAGGUGCGAAAGCGUGGGUAGCAAACAGGAUUAGAUACCCGGGUAGUC
RNAcentral lists this ribosomal RNA (465 nucleotides) under Vreelandella stevensii. RNAcentral describes it as "partial 16S ribosomal RNA". It matches the Rfam family "Bacterial small subunit ribosomal RNA", at positions 338 to 795 of the family's 1533-position model. The record is from RNAcentral. Lineage: Bacteria; Pseudomonadati; Pseudomonadota; Gammaproteobacteria; Oceanospirillales; Halomonadaceae.